UGUACGAGGAGCUCGCGGCCUAUCAGGUAGUUGGUGGGGUCACGGCCUACCAAGCCAUUGACGGGUAGCUGGUCUGAGAGGAUGGCCAGCCACAUUGGGACUGAGAUACGGCCCAGACUCCUACGGGAGGCAGCAGUGGGGAAUAUUGCGCAAUGGCCGCAAGGCUGACGCAGCGACACCGCGUGGGGGAUGAAGCAUUUCGGUGUGUAAACCCCUGUUGCUCGGGACGAACAACGAGUUUCGACUCGUCUGACGGUACCGGGUGAGGAAGCACCGGCUAACUCCGUGCCAGCAGCCGCGGUAAUACGGAGGGUGCGAGCGUUGUCCGGAAUCACUGGGCGUAAAGGGCGCGUAGGCGGUCUGCUAAGCGUGUGGUGAAAGCUCGGGGCUCAACCCCGAGUCGGCCAUGCGAACUGGUGGACUAGAGCACUGUAGAGGCAGGUGGAAUUCCGGGUGUAGCGGUGGAAUGCGUAGAGAUNNNGNAGAACACCGGUGGCGAAGGCGGCCUGCUGGGCAGUAGCUGACGCUGAGGCGCGACANNNUGGGGAGCAAACAGGAUUAGAUACCCUGGUAGUCCACGCCGUAAACGAUGGGCACUAGGUGCUUGGGGGAGCGACCCCUCGAGUGCCGGCGCUAACGCAUUAAGUGCCCCGCCUGGGGAGUACGACCGCAAGGUUGAAACUCAAAGGAAUUGACGGGGGCCCGCACAAGCGGUGGAGCAUGUGGUUUAAUUCGACGCAACGCGAAGAACCUUACCCAGACUUGACAUGGAUGGGAAAGCCUCUGGAAACAGGGGCCCCUCUUCGGAGCUCAUUCACAGGUGCUGCAUGGCUGUCGUCAGCUCGUGUCGUGAGAUGUUGGGUUAAGUCCCGCAACGAGCGCAACCCUUGCCCUUAGUUACCAGCGAGUAAAGUCGGGGACUCUAGGGGGACUGCCGGUGCCAAACCGGAGGAAGGUGGGGACGACGUCAAGUCAUCAUGGUCCUUACGUCUGGGGCUACACACGUGCUACAAUGGCCGGUACAAUGGGCUGCGAGAUGGCAACAUCGAGCCAAUCCCCAAAGCCGGCCUCAGUUCGGAUUGUCGUCUGCAACUCGACGGCAUGAAGCUGGAAUCGCUAGUAAUCGUGGAUCAGCGACGCCACGGUGAAUACGUUCCCGGGCCU
RNAcentral lists this ribosomal RNA (1164 nucleotides) under uncultured bacterium. RNAcentral describes it as "bacterial SSU rRNA". It matches the Rfam family "Bacterial small subunit ribosomal RNA", at positions 219 to 1381 of the family's 1533-position model. The record is from RNAcentral.